UACGUAGGGGGCAAGCGUUGUCCGGAAUCAUUGGGCGUAAAGCGCGUGUAGGCGGUCCGGUAAGUCCGCUGUGAAAGUCGGGGGCUCAACCCUCGGAUGCCGGUGGAUACUGUCGGGCUUGAGUACGGAAGAGGCGAGUGGAAUUCCUGGUGUAGCGGUGAAAUGCGCAGAUAUCGAGAGGAACACCUGCGGCGAAGGCGGGUAGCUGGGCCGACACUGACGCUGAGGCGCGAAAGCCAGGGGAGCGAACGGG
This 253-nucleotide ribosomal RNA is filed under the name uncultured bacterium. RNAcentral describes it as "partial 16S ribosomal RNA". It matches the Rfam family "Bacterial small subunit ribosomal RNA", at positions 524 to 776 of the family's 1533-position model. The record is from RNAcentral.